UGCGAACUGCGAACUUGUGUGACUCCCGGUUCAUCCUUUUUAUUCGGGUCAUUGGGUUGGUGUUGGAGUUGGUCACCAUAUUCUGAACGUUUCACCUAUCGUUGCGGUGUACUGUUCUUGAUCUGCUGCGAAGCGACGAACCGCAACGGCAGUCACUCGCCUCAGCGAACUUCUGUCUGCUGCAUCUCAAAGGAGCAUGGGGACCUGAUGAUACCUUCAACUAAAGAAACCAAAUGUGCUCUCGUGUGGUCCUGACGGAAAAGUAGUAUCAACAAGGCUAUGCCGCUCCGAAGCAUUGAGAUGACGAAGCGUCGUGGUAGCUGCACCUCUGCCUUCGAAAGAUGAAUCAGUUAUUCCACACUGUGCUUACUGGCUUUGUAUAGAGUCUGGCAAAUCCGACAGACUUGGACUGCCUUUUUCAAGAAAGUUUGAAAUAGCAUCCCUUAUGCACCUGCAUUUCAAUUCCAAUCUGUAUUACAAGAAUGACAGACCACUCAACAGAGAUGAACAUCUGAAAGUGAAAGAGCUGGAAUGAAGAUACGUUAAUCUGUGUCAAAGGUUCUUAAUAUGUGUACUAGUCGAGGACAUUAAUUCUCAAGCUUAUUCCUCUCUUCAGAAGAGGUGACAACUAUGCUC
Long non-coding RNA from Ornithodoros turicata, 636 nucleotides. RefSeq lists it as uncharacterized. NCBI's taxonomy places the organism in Eukaryota, Metazoa, Arthropoda, Arachnida, Ixodida, Argasidae. The record is from RefSeq and is a predicted model, not a curated record. The transcript is spliced from 3 exons.